AGGUUUGUUUUUCGUUGCGAGUGUUCGGGUGUCAAACCCCUACGCGUAAUGAAAGUGAACGCAGGUGAGAGCUUCGGCGCAUCAUCGACCGAUCCUGAUGUUCUCGGAUGGAUUUGAGUAAGAGCAUACGGGGCCGGACCCGAAAGAAGGUGAACUAUGCCUGUAUAGGGUGAAGCCAGAGGAAACUCUGGUGGAGGCUCGCAGCGGUUCUGACGUGCAAAUCGAUCGUCAAAUAUGGGCAUGGGGGCGAAAGACUAAUCGAACCUUCUAGUAGCUGGUUUCCGCCGAAGUUUCCCUCAGGAUAGCAGUGUUGAACUCAGUUUUAUGAGGUAAAGCGAAUGAUUAGGGACUCGGGGGCGCUAUUUAGCCUUCAUCCAUUCUCAAACUUUAAAUAUGUAAGAAGCUCUUGUUGCUUAAUUGAACGUGAGCAUUCGAAUGUAUCAACACUAGUGGGCCAUUUUUGGUAAGCAGAACUGGCGAUGCGGGAUGAACCGAACGCGAGGUUAAGGUGCCAGAGUAGACGCUCAUCAGACACCACAAAAGGUGUUAGUACAUCUUGACAGCAGGACGGUGGCCAUGGAAGUCGGAAUCCGCUAAGAAAUGGGUGAAAAACCCAUCCCUCCAAGGAUUUUCUAAAUCCCGCUAGGGAGUUUGGUAAGGUUUCUAGGUUUUGAUUACUGCCACCAUCAAUUACAUUAUUAUUAAUAAGAAGAAUAGUUGAAAGUGGUGCAGGAACAGGAUGAACAGUAUAUCCUCCCCUUUCUACUAAUAUUGCACAUAGAGGAGCAUCAGUAGACUUAGCAAUUUUUUCACUACAUUUAGCAGGAGUAUCCUCAAUUUUAGGGGCUAUUAACUUCAUUUCAACUAUUAUAAAUAUACGACCAAAAGGAAUAACAAUAGAACGAAUUCCUUUAUUCGUAUGAUCAGUAAGUAUUACUGCAUUACUAUUAUUAUUAUCAUUACCAGUACUAGCUGGGGCUAUUACAAUAUUACUUGCAGACCGAAACUUCAAUACAUCAUUUUUUGACCCAGCAGGGGGGGGAGAUCCUAUUUUAUAUCAACACUUAUUUUGAUU
This 1075-nucleotide ribosomal RNA is filed under the name Anthocoris limbatus. RNAcentral describes it as "eukaryotic LSU rRNA". The stretch from base 6 to 770 matches the Rfam family "Eukaryotic large subunit ribosomal RNA", at positions 675 to 1444 of the family's 3401-position model. The record is from RNAcentral. Lineage: Eukaryota; Metazoa; Arthropoda; Insecta; Hemiptera; Anthocoridae.